CAGCCGCCGCGGUAAUACGUAGGGGGCAAGCGUUAUCCGGAUUUACUGGGUGUAAAGGGAGCGUAGACGGUUUGGCAAGUCUGAAGUGAAAGCCCGGGGCUCAACCCCGGAAUUGCUUUGGAAACUGUUAGACUGGAGUGUCGGAGAGGUAAGUGGAAUUCCCAGUGUAGCGGUGAAAUGCGUAGAUAUUGGGAGGAACACCGGUGGCGAAGGCGGCUUACUGGACGAUAACUGACGUUGAGGCUCGAAGGCGUGGGGAGCAAACAGGAUUAGAUACCCCAGUAGUCCCUGUCUCUUAUAC
Molecule: ribosomal RNA, 301 nt
Filed under: uncultured bacterium
Lineage: Bacteria
Description: partial 16S ribosomal RNA
Rfam family: Bacterial small subunit ribosomal RNA
Source: RNAcentral